This 791-nucleotide ribosomal RNA is filed under the name uncultured bacterium. Its description in RNAcentral is "bacterial SSU rRNA". It matches the Rfam family "Bacterial small subunit ribosomal RNA", at positions 8 to 796 of the family's 1533-position model. The record is from RNAcentral.
AGAGUUUGAUCAUGGCUCAGAUUGAACGCUGGCGGCAUGCCUUACACAUGCAAGUCGAGCGGCAGCGCGGGGGCAACCCUGGCGGCGAGCGGCGCACGGGUGAGUAAUGCAUCGGAACGUGUCCUCUUGUGGGGGAUAACCAGUCGAAAGACUGGCUAAUACCGCAUGAGCACGAGAGUGGAAAGCGGGGGACCGCAAGGCCUCGCGCGAGAGGAGCGGCCGAUGCCGGAUUAGCUAGUUGGUGAGGUAAUGGCCCACCAAGGCGACGAUCCGUAGCUGGUUUGAGAGAACGACCAGCCACACUGGGACUGAGACACGGCCCAGACUCCUACGGGAGGCAGCAGUGGGGAAUUUUGGACAAUGGGGGCAACCCUGAUCCAGCCAUGCCGCGUGUGUGAAGAAGGCCUUCGGGUUGUAAAGCACUUUCGGCCGGAACGAAAUCGCGCGGGUGAACAUCCCGCGUGGAUGACGGUACCGGAAGAAGAAGCACCGGCUAACUACGUGCCAGCAGCCGCGGUAAUACGUAGGGUGCGAGCGUUAAUCGGAAUUACUGGGCGUAAAGUGUGCGCAGGCGGCCGAGCAAGUCGAGUGUGAAAGCCCCGAGCUUAACUUGGGAACUGCGCUCGAAACUACUUGGCUAGAGUGUGGCAGAGGGAGGUGGAAUUCCACGUAGCGGUGAAAUGCGUAGAGAUGUGGAGGAACACCGAUGGCGAAGGCAGCCUCCUGGGCCAACACUGACGCUCAUGCACGAAAGCGUGGGGAGCAAACAGGAUUAGAUACCCUAGUAGUCC